GACGUAGGGUGCAAGCGUUGUCCGGAUUUAUUGGGCGUAAAGAGCUCGUAGGCGGCUCGUCGCGUCGGCCGUGAAAUCCCUAGGCUUAACCUGGGGCUUGCGGUCGAUACGGGCGGGCUAGAGUUCGGUAGGGGAGACUGGAAUUCCUGGUGUAGCGGUGAAAUGCGCAGAUAUCAGGAGGAACACCGGUGGCGAAGGCGGGUCUCUGGGCCGAUACUGACGCUGAGGAGCGAAAGCGUGGGGAGCGAACAGG
This 253-nucleotide ribosomal RNA is filed under the name uncultured Longispora sp. RNAcentral's name for it is "partial 16S ribosomal RNA". It matches the Rfam family "Bacterial small subunit ribosomal RNA", at positions 524 to 776 of the family's 1533-position model. Lineage: Bacteria; Bacillati; Actinomycetota; Actinomycetes; Micromonosporales; Micromonosporaceae. The record is from RNAcentral.